GAAAACAACAACACAACAAACGCUUGUAUUGUAUUUUACAUCUUGAAAAGGACCUGAUGUCAGAUGAAGAAGUCUGAAGAUACCUUGGAUAUCCUGUUGCAGGAUGACCCAAACGAUCAUGCAUUCAGUAUAAACAUGUUAUUGACAUCCCAAUAUUUAGUGGGAAGCUUCCAGGUAUCUUCCACUAGUGACAGUCUACUGGCAAAUCCAGACAUGCAUUGGAAGUAUGUUGAUGUGGAGGACACAGGUACACCUGAUCCAAGAACUGUGGCAUUUCAUUCGGAGUGACAACCUGGCAUGCAGUUGAUAUGGGACCUGAUUAUUCAGAGAAUUGCAGAUUUUAUGAAGCUGUUUUUGACAGAAGAUUUGGUUUUCUCCAUCUCUGUUGCCACCAACCAUUAUGCUGUGAUGGUCAUAUCUAGGGGGAAGGGUUGUCAUAUGCUUCCCAAGGAAGUUCGAAGCCUCUCACUGAAGAGGAACUGUACACGUAUUACUAGUUUUAAAGUACCGAUAUUGUGACAGUGAUUUCCAGUUUAAAACGAAUAAUAAAAUGCAUUUUAUAAGAUUACCUUUACCAAAAUUAAUCUGGCUGUGCAUCUAACACAUUUUUUAAAGAUAAAAUUUUACAAGUAAUUAAACGCAUAAUUUUCAGAGGGCCUUGAUUAUAGAAAACAUUUACAGAGCCAAUUGAGUAUUCAAAAGCUCUGAGAAUACAUCAGUAUAUUGGGGCUAAGUAUAAACAAUCUUUCUUUUUUUUCUUCAGAUUUUUGGGCAUUAUCUUAUACAUGUCUGCUGAGAAGUUCCAGUCGAUAGACAGAUAUUGGUCAACGUAUGCCACUAUCGGAACAACCUAGUAUCAAGAAUUAUGUCUAGAAAUAUGUUUUAAGAGGUUGAAUAUAAGAAGAACAAUUUUUAUUAAAUAUAAUUCAAGUACAUUUAAAUUUAGUGAUUGAAAGUAAGUACUUGAACAUUCGUAUACAUGUACAAUGAACUUGGGGAGGAAAAACGGGCAUUAGUUUCGCAUAGCAUUUGAUAUCAUAAUGGUGUUGUUGCUUAGCAACCAAAUAUAUUUGAAUAUAAAAAAAGUUUUUUUUUUUUUUUUUUUAGAUUUUAACAGGAAAGAUCUUUGUUUUAAUGUUGCAAUAUUUAUACUAUUUAGUGGGAUACAAUGGCAAAACGUCAUAUUAUUAGAAAAUGAUGAAUAUGUAUAUGAAGUACGAAAUUUUCAUUUUAUGACCUUUUACCUUAAUUCUCUUCAUUAUAUUUUUUGUUAAAAACCUUUUAAAAUGAUUGAGAUCUAGUCAAAGAUUAUAUUUUUAAAAUAAUGUGACAUUUACUAAUCAUCAUGCAAUGUAACUAUGUUUAAAUUGUGUCGAAUGGAUGUAGAAAGGCAAAUUAUGGUCAAAAUUACACCAUGAGUGUUGUUACUUAGCAACCAAAAAUAUUUGUUUGUCAGUAAAAUUGAUUAAUUUGAUUGUGAUGUUUUUGUAGUAUUUUAAAAGACAUAUCAGCUCAUACAUUUAGAAUUUCCUAUUUUUGACUCGAAUCCAGUGAGAGGGGUCGUAAUAUAUAUAUUCCAGAGAAAAAAGAUUGCAAAAAUGUGCACUUAAAUGACCUUUGACCCCGUAGAACUCUUUGGGGUCAUGGGAUAACAUGACAAACUUUAUGAAAAAAAUGUUCCCUGUCCAAUUCGUAACAAAAUUAUAUAUCACAUGCCUACCUAAAAUCGUGAUACAUGCAGAUGUAACUCGAUUUAAAAAUAUUGUCAUUUAGUCUUUAAAAAUCU
Molecule: long non-coding RNA, 1786 nt
Organism: Ostrea edulis (European flat oyster)
Lineage: Eukaryota; Metazoa; Mollusca; Bivalvia; Ostreida; Ostreidae
Exons: 3
Source: RefSeq, a predicted model, not a curated record